This 431-nucleotide long non-coding RNA is filed under the name Mus musculus (house mouse). RNAcentral's name for it is "predicted gene, 57077". The record is from RNAcentral. Lineage: Eukaryota; Metazoa; Chordata; Mammalia; Rodentia; Muridae.
GAAGCAACCUUGUGUAGAAAAAUGAGAAGGAAAAGCAGAGGGGAGGCCUUAGAAGGAUAAGCUAGCACACAGCACUAGGAUGCAAAGAAGCCGCAUGGCAGUCUGGGGCUCUGAGGGGCCGCCAUUCUCAACUUCCUGUAAGAUUUAUUAUUUCUUGAGCAUGGAAUUCUUCAGCAUAGUAAUGAAGAUCAAGCCCAGUUCUUCGCACUUCCCACACAUCCUGGCACUGAGCAGAAUCCCCAUUCUGUAUGUAGGUUUAAUUUUUAUACAGAUAUCUAAUUGUUCUAUGAUUAAUGUUCCAUUCAAAAUGAGGGCUUUUAUUUUUGCUAGGAUUUUUGUACAAUCAUGUGACAAUUUCUGUAUAUCCCUUUUCUGUUACAUAGUAUCUUGCUUUUCUUUCUCAUAAAAAAAUUAAUCUUUCAUUUUUGUAA